This 314-nucleotide unclassified non-coding RNA is filed under the name plant metagenome. RNAcentral describes it as "partial contains 5.8S ribosomal RNA, internal transcribed spacer 2, and large subunit ribosomal RNA". The stretch from base 1 to 104 matches the Rfam family "5.8S ribosomal RNA", at positions 51 to 154 of the family's 154-position model. The record is from RNAcentral.
AACUGCGAUAAGUAAUGUGAAUUGCAGAAUUCAGUGAAUCAUCGAGUCUUUGAACGCACAUUGCGCCCCCUGGCAUUCCGGGGGGCAUGCCUGUCCGAGCGUCAUUGCUGCCCUUCAAGCCCGGCUUGUGUGUUGGGUCGUCGUCCCCUCCGGGGGACGGGCCCGAAAGGCAGCGGCGGCACCGCGUCCGGUCCUCGAGCGUAUGGGGCUUUGUCACCCGCUCGAUAAGGACCGGCCGGGCGCCAGCCGGCGUCUCCAACCUUUUUUUCUCAGGUUGACCUCGGAUCAGGUAGGGAUACCCACUGAACUUAAGC